Homo sapiens (human) is the source of this 2332-nucleotide long non-coding RNA. The record is from Ensembl. Lineage: Eukaryota; Metazoa; Chordata; Mammalia; Primates; Hominidae.
GGACCAGAGCCAUGCUUACUUUAAACGCUGAUCCGAGAGACCAAGACAGGAAUCAUACCAGUGAAGCCCAUGGCGGCUCCUUCUCGUGACUGUCUAAGCAGCCCAGCUCCAUCUCGAAAGUCAAUGUACACCAGAUCUAUGGCUUGGAGACCAAAGGCUUUCGCUAUGACAACAAUCUUUUGCCGGGCGUAGAGAAUAUCCAGGGUUUCUUUACUACUUGUUGCACCUGAAAAUGGGAUGUUAACAGAAAAAGGAGGCUUUAACUUUGGAAACCGCACCCAGAUAUUUAUUAUAAAACCUCAGUUUGUACAGAUAUCUAAACCUCCCUGGAAAUUGCUCCUCCGCAAAAUAAAAUUAUUGAAAUACAAAUGAAGACAGGGACGCGUGGAGGCCAAGUUAAACCUCGAAUGUGUCUGUUUAACUGACAAGGCAUCUUUCAAUAGAAUUACUUCUACCUGCAUUAAGAGAAGGCCCCUUCCCCAUUCUGGGAGGCUGGGUCAGGGUCGCAAGGGACUCCUGAUAUAUUUUUUUCCUUCUUAUCAUCGCUUGAAAAGUGCCAGUCCAAAGACAGCACCACAAAGGGUGGCCCAGCAGCUAUGCAGGGCAAUGGUUCGUGUUUCACAGCAAGCACAGAACUGUGUGUGCUGCGAUUGCCCUGUCCAAACUGAAGUUCUGAGCCAAAUGCUUCAGCUUCAGGGUCUGUCUGGAUGGAGAACUUGGGGAGACGGGAGGGCACUUGUUUUGAGAGGGCUGGAAAGCAUCGAUAUGCCUUCUGUAGCCCGCUGAACCGUUGGAUACACAAGUCUCCUGGAAAGACUCGUAUUCAAAUAAAUUCAGUUUUUUCACCCUGAGGGGAGGGAAGUGUCCCUGUUUACAUUUGGAACAUGCCACUCCCUGCCUAGGGAAAGUGCCUGUCUUCAGGUCACUGGGGCUGGUUUCUGUGGCCUCGGCCUCUUUUCUAAAUGCUUCACGGUCUCCAGUCAAACAUGCAGACCCCUCAAGUGCAGCUCACAAGGGAUGGUGAGAAUCGGUGAAAAUCAGCACAUUUAAUACUAAGAGUUCGAAACAUAUUGUAAGAGAAAUUUAAGAUCCAUUUAAAAUAAUAUUUACCUACCGCAUAUUCUGUAGAAAACAAUUCAUUAAGGCAAAUGUGAAAUUGCCUUAAAUUUGCGUUAGAAAUCUAGACAGCCCACAGACUGAUAUGAAAACAAAAUACUGAAGCAACGGUGAGGCUGUUCACAUAAUAUAUUUAUUAGGAGCAAAGGAGAUGCCAUAUAUUCCUGAGCAUGCCUGGGGCUGCAACAGGCUUUCUAUUGCUCGUGUCUUUUAUAAAUGAACAGAAGUAAUAAUGCAGUGCUCUAGAAGCAGGGCAGCUAUGAGGAGCCCUAAAUUAUCAGGAAGUAGUGUCCAUUCCAUUGUCAUGAAAAACCAUUGUCAUGGUUGGCAAAUAUACAUUGUUAUGUAAAUGUCCAUCCUUGAGGGGCAAAGAAAAAAUAUAUACACACAUAUACACACACACACACAGAAAAAGAGAGAGAGAGAUGUCUUUGACACCUAUGCUGGCUCGAAAGUCUUCUCCUCCAAAAACGACUGCAUCUAGAAAGAGACCUACUUGAGGCCCGACCUUCAGGGUUUCUUCACACACUGCCUGUAAAAGAGCAGAACAGAACUAAGUCUCACGGAAACGCGUGCGUCAGAGGGAAGAGGCACGGUGCAUUUCAGUAACAGGACGACCUGACUCUUAACACAGUUUGGCUGAAAGCAGUCCUAAAAACGCAGCCCAAAUUUACCCCUUUCAAAAGGUAUUUAAUAUCAUCCAAGAUAAGUAUAUUGUAUAUAUUUGCUUUGUUUAAUGGAUUAUAUGAAUAUAGUUAUAAUGUUCAAAUUGUAGUUCAUCUCAUUUUUGGAGAAACUUUGAGUUAACUCAUUUUGCUUGCACUAUAAGUUAUUUAUAUCUUUCCAGAAUUCGUUUUUGCUUUAAGAGACUCUCGUAAAACCACAGGGGAGAAGGAAGGAAUUUUAAAAUCAAACUAAUUGAAUUAUUUGCAUUAGGAUCAAGCACAUGGUCUCAGGAUUAAAGACAGCACAAAAACCUGCAACUCCGGAGGGGAAAAUAAAAAUGCAACAAGUCAUCCAAGAUGUGUUCAUAAAGCAACUUCGACAUUUAUAUAUGAAAGUCAAGGCAAAUACCAUUCGUCGUAGACAUAACCGUGAAUCUUGAAAGGUGGAGAUAUAACCUGCUAAUAAUAUACGUGGGUGGGAAAGAAACGAGGAACCGGUGGGGACACUGUUGAUUAAUUUCAGACAUUGUAAGUGCUUCUAAGUACAUUAU